RNAcentral lists this ribosomal RNA (459 nucleotides) under uncultured bacterium. Its description in RNAcentral is "partial 16S ribosomal RNA". It matches the Rfam family "Bacterial small subunit ribosomal RNA", at positions 338 to 795 of the family's 1533-position model. The record is from RNAcentral.
CCUACGGGAGGCAGCAGUGAGGAAUCUUGGUCAAUGGCCGAGAGGCUGAACCAGCCAAGUCGCGUGAGGGAAGACGGCCCUACGGGUUGUAAACCUCUUUUGUCGGGGAGCAAAACGAGUCACGUGUGACUCAUUGAGAGUACCCGAAGAAAAAGCAUCGUCUAACUCCGUGCCAUCAGCCGCGGUAAUACGGGGGAUGCGAGCGGUACCCGGAUUGAUUGGGUUAAAAGGGUGCGCAGGGGGGGGUGCAAGUCAGCGGUAAAAUUGCGGGGCUCAACCCCGUACGGCCGUUGAAACUGCAGCCCUUGAGUGCGCGAGAAGAGAGCGGAAUGCGAGGUGUAGCGGUGAAAUGCAUAGAUAUCACGCAGAACUCCGGUGGCGAAGGCAGCAUACCGGCGCGCAACUGACGCUCAUGCACGAAAGCGUGGGUAUCGAACAGGAUUAGAUACCCGUGUAGUC